GAUAAUAACUUGGCAGGUUUUUUAAAGGCAGAAUCCUUUUAUUUUCAGCAGAACACAACACUCCAAUUUAAACAAUUCUCCUGUCUGUCUUCUUUUUUCCUACGGUAUCAUGGCCAGAGUCUAAAGUGGACGCAUUUUAAUGCUCAUAGCAAGAAAAAGUCUGUGGAAUAAUGAACCUGUAAAUCUCCUGGCUCCCAUUGGAGGGCUUGAAAACACAUCUUGAAUGCUCUGUGGAAUAUAUCAUUUUCCUUCACUUUUGCACCUUCCUGAAACUGCAGACUUCAAAGCACACUGACCUGCUCAGGUUUCACUACUUACUGUUUCAUGACUUUACAUGUGGAUUUACCUCCCUUUCCUUAACUAUGAAACGAGAACUCCUUCCAGUCUUAACUCCACAGGAUCUUUACCCCUUUAAAAGAACCUGA
Molecule: long non-coding RNA, 425 nt
Filed under: Calidris pugnax (ruff)
Lineage: Eukaryota; Metazoa; Chordata; Aves; Charadriiformes; Scolopacidae
Description: lncRNA (ENSCPUG00000002016.1)
Source: RNAcentral